RNAcentral lists this ribosomal RNA (756 nucleotides) under uncultured bacterium. Its description in RNAcentral is "bacterial SSU rRNA". It matches the Rfam family "Bacterial small subunit ribosomal RNA", at positions 8 to 796 of the family's 1533-position model. The record is from RNAcentral.
AGAGUUUGAUCAUGGCUCAGAAUCAACGCUGGCGGCGUGCCUAACACAUGCAAGUCGCACGAGAAAGGGGCUUCGGCCCUGAGUAAAGUGGCGCACGGGUGAGUAACACGUGAAUCAUCUACCUCUGAGUGGGGAAUAACUGAGAGAAAUCUUAGCUAAUACCGCAUAACACUUACGAGUCAAAGCAGCAAUGCGCUUGGAGAGGAGUUCGCGGCCGAUUAGUUAGUUGGCGGGGUAAUGGCCCACCAAGACGAUGAUCGGUAUCCGGCCUGAGAGGGCGCACGGACACACUGGAACUGAAACACGGUCCAGACUCCUACGGGAGGCAGCAGUGGGGAAUUUUGCGCAAUGGGGGAAACCCUGACGCAGCAACGCCGCGUGGAGGAUGAAGUAUCUUGGUACGUAAACUCCUUUCGAUGGGGAAGAUAAUGACGGUACCCAUAGAAGAAGCCCCGGCUAACUUCGUGCCAGCAGCCGCGGUAAUACGAGGGGGGCAAGCGUUGUUCGGAAUUAUUGGGCGUAAAGGGUGCGUAGGCGGUUUGAUAAGUCUGAUGUGAAAUCUCUGGGCUCAACCCAGAGUCUGCAUUAGAAACUGUCGGGCUUGAGUAUGGGAGAGGUGAGUGGAAUUUCCGGUGUAGCGGUGAAAUGCGUAGAUAUCGGAAGGAACACCUGUGGCGAAAGCGGCUCACUGGACCAUAACUGACGCUGAGGCACGAAAGCUAGGGGAGCAAACAGGAUUAGAUACCCUAGUAGUCC